AUCGCAGGUCCUGUGAAUGGUUUGACGAGUCCUCGACUGUCUCAAGGUUGUUUUGGUGAAAUUGAAUUGAAAGUGCAAAUGCUUUCAUGGGUGAGAAAGACGAGAAGACCCCGUGAAGUUAGAAAUUCCUUUUUGUAGCGUUAAUUUCUUCUGAAUUUUGUUCAACCCUUAAGUGCUACUAAGUAAGAAAAUACAAAUAUGAUGAGUUUUGGCUGGGGAAGCAAGAGAGCAAGGCUAGACUCUCUUAGUGACGACACGGGCGCGUUACGAUCCACAGUGAAGAAUUGUGUGAUCAGCGGAAGAAGUUACUCCGGGGAUAACAGCGUAAUCUGCUUUGAUAGAUCGUAUAGACAAGCAGGUUUGCGACCUCGAUGUUGGCUUUGGGUAUCCUGGAGCUUGUAGGCGGUUCCAAGGGUUGGUUCGUUCGCCCAUUAAAACCCG
This 441-nucleotide ribosomal RNA is filed under the name Pascahinnites coruscans coruscans. Its description in RNAcentral is "partial 16S ribosomal RNA". It matches the Rfam family "Bacterial large subunit ribosomal RNA", at positions 1980 to 2597 of the family's 2925-position model. The record is from RNAcentral. Lineage: Eukaryota; Metazoa; Mollusca; Bivalvia; Pectinida; Pectinidae.